RNAcentral lists this ribosomal RNA (948 nucleotides) under Acinetobacter sp. SG8. RNAcentral's name for it is "bacterial SSU rRNA". It matches the Rfam family "Bacterial small subunit ribosomal RNA", at positions 93 to 1036 of the family's 1533-position model. The record is from RNAcentral. Lineage: Bacteria; Pseudomonadati; Pseudomonadota; Gammaproteobacteria; Moraxellales; Moraxellaceae.
UAGCGGCGGACGGGUGAGUAAUGCUUAGGAAUCUGCCUAUUAGUGGGGGACAACAUUCCGAAAGGAAUGCUAAUACCGCAUACGCCCUACGGGGGAAAGCAGGGGAUCUUCGGACCUUGCGCUAAUAGAUGAGCCUAAGUCAGAUUAGCUAGUUGGUGGGGUAAAGGCCUACCAAGGCGACGAUCUGUAGCGGGUCUGAGAGGAUGAUCCGCCACACUGGGACUGAGACACGGCCCAGACUCCUACGGGAGGCAGCAGUGGGGAAUAUUGGACAAUGGGCGCAAGCCUGAUCCAGCCAUGCCGCGUGUGUGAAGAAGGCCUUUUGGUUGUAAAGCACUUUAAGCGAGGAGGAGGCUACUGAGAUUAAUACUCUUGGAUAGUGGACGUUACUCGCAGAAUAAGCACCGGCUAACUCUGUGCCAGCAGCCGCGGUAAUACAGAGGGUGCGAGCGUUAAUCGGAUUUACUGGGCGUAAAGCGUGCGUAGGCGGCUUUUUAAGUCGGAUGUGAAAUCCCUGAGCUUAACUUAGGAAUUGCAUUCGAUACUGGGAAGCUAGAGUAUGGGAGAGGAUGGUAGAAUUCCAGGUGUAGCGGUGAAAUGCGUAGAGAUCUGGAGGAAUACCGAUGGCGAAGGCAGCCAUCUGGCCUAAUACUGACGCUGAGGUACGAAAGCAUGGGGAGCAAACAGGAUUAGAUACCCUGGUAGUCCAUGCCGUAAACGAUGUCUACUAGCCGUUGGGGCCUUUGAGGCUUUAGUGGCGCAGCUAACGCGAUAAGUAGACCGCCUGGGGAGUACGGUCGCAAGACUAAAACUCAAAUGAAUUGACGGGGGCCCGCACAAGCGGUGGAGCAUGUGGUUUAAUUCGAUGCAACGCGAAGAACCUUACCUGGUCUUGACAUAGUAAGAACUUUCCAGAGAUGGAUUGGUGCCUUCGGGAACUUACAUACA